Molecule: ribosomal RNA, 452 nt
Filed under: Pleosporales sp. P10534EM1CC665
Lineage: Eukaryota; Fungi; Ascomycota; Dothideomycetes; Pleosporales
Description: eukaryotic LSU rRNA
Rfam family: 5.8S ribosomal RNA (bases 147-300)
Source: RNAcentral
CAUUACAGUAGGGGGCUCUGCCCCUUGAAGAAGAUACCCUUGAUUUUUGAGUACCUCUGUUUCCUCGGCGAGUUCGCUCGCCAAUGGGGACCCCUCAAAACCUUUUUGUAAUAGCAGUUUUUUCUGAAAAACAAAGCAAAAGUUAAAACUUUCAACAACGGAUCUCUUGGUUCUGGCAUCGAUGAAGAACGCAGCGAAAUGCGAUAAGUAGUGUGAAUUGCAGAAUUCAGUGAAUCAUCGAAUCUUUGAACGCACAUUGCGCCCUUUGGUAUUCCUUAGGGCAUGCCUGUUCGAGCGUCAUUUAAACCCUCAAGCACAGCUUGGUGUUGGGCGUCUGCUUCCCCCUGGGGAGGCUCGCCUCAAAUGCAUUGGCAGCCGGUACGUUGGCUUCGAGCGCAGCAGAAAAGCGCCUGGCGUCUGACGGUAGCGGCUCUCCAGCAAGUCCACCCCAA